RNAcentral lists this ribosomal RNA (346 nucleotides) under Escherichia coli. Its description in RNAcentral is "partial 23S ribosomal RNA". It matches the Rfam family "Bacterial large subunit ribosomal RNA", at positions 2585 to 2925 of the family's 2925-position model. Lineage: Bacteria; Pseudomonadati; Pseudomonadota; Gammaproteobacteria; Enterobacterales; Enterobacteriaceae. The record is from RNAcentral.
CAUUUAAAGUGGUACGCGAGCUGGGUUUAGAACGUCGUGAGACAGUUCGGUCCCUAUCUGCCGUGGGCGCUGGAGAAUUGAGGGGGGCUGCUCCUAGUACGAGAGGACCGGAGUGGACGCAUCACUGGUGUUCGGGUUGUCAUGCCAAUGGCACUGCCCGGUAGCUAAAUGCGGAAGAGAUAAGUGCUGAAAGCAUCUAAGCACGAAACUUGCCCCGAGAUGAGUUCUCCCUGACUCCUUGAGAGUCCUGAAGGAACGUUGAAGACGACGACGUUGAUAGGCCGGGUGUGUAAGCGCAGCGAUGCGUUGAGCUAACCGGUACUAAUGAACCGUGAGGCUUAACCUU